UACGUAGGGAGCAAGCGUUAUCCGGAAUUAUUGGGUGUAAAGGGUGCGUAGACGGGAAAGCGAGUUGGUUGUGAAAUCCCCAGGCUUAACUUGGGAACUGCAACCAAAACUACUAUUCUUGAGUGCAGGAGAGGAAAGUGGAAUUCCUAGUGUAGCGGUGAAAUGCGUAGAAAUUAGGAGGAACACCAGUGGCGAAGGCGGCUUUCUGGACUGUAACUGACGUUGAGGCACGAAAGUGUGGGGAGCAAAC
This 250-nucleotide ribosomal RNA is filed under the name uncultured prokaryote. Its description in RNAcentral is "partial 16S ribosomal RNA". It matches the Rfam family "Bacterial small subunit ribosomal RNA", at positions 524 to 773 of the family's 1533-position model. The record is from RNAcentral.